RNAcentral lists this ribosomal RNA (253 nucleotides) under uncultured bacterium. RNAcentral's name for it is "partial 16S ribosomal RNA". It matches the Rfam family "Bacterial small subunit ribosomal RNA", at positions 524 to 776 of the family's 1533-position model. The record is from RNAcentral.
UACGGAGGGUGCAAGCGUUAUCCGGAUUCACUGGGUUUAAAGGGUGCGUAGGAGGGCAGGUAAGUCAGUGGUGAAAUCUCCAAGCUUAACUUGGAAACUGCCGUUGAUACUAUCUGUCUUGAAUAUUGUGGAGGUGAGCGGAAUAUGUCAUGUAGCGGUGAAAUGCUUAGAUAUGACAUAGAACACCAAUUGCGAAGGCAGCUCACUGGCCCGAUACUGACGCUGAGGCGCGAAAGCGUGGGGAGCAAACAGG